AGCGAACGCUGGCGGCAGGCCUAAUACAUGCAAGUCGAACGGAUCCUUCGGGAUUAGUGACGGACGGGUGAGUAACACGUGGGAACGUGCCCUUUGGUUCGGAACAACUCAGGGAAACUUGAGCUAAUACCGAAUGUGCCCCCAUCCUUAAACAAGAUGGGUGGGAAAGAUUUAUCGCCAUUGGAGCGGCCCGCGUCUGAUUAGCUAGUUGGUGAGGUAAAGGCCCACCAAGGCUACGAUCAGUAGCUGGUCUGAGAGGAUGAUCAGCCACACUGGGACUGAGACACGGCCCAGACUCCUACGGGAGGCAGCAGUAGGGAAUCUUGCGCAAUGGGCGAAAGCCUGACGCAGCCAUGCCGCGUGAAUGAUGAAGGUCUUAGGGAUUGUAAAAUUCUUUCAGCGGGGACGAUAAUGACGGUACCCGCAGAAGAAGCCCCGGCUAACUCGUGCCCAGCCCGCCGCU
This 463-nucleotide ribosomal RNA is filed under the name uncultured bacterium. Its description in RNAcentral is "bacterial SSU rRNA". It matches the Rfam family "Bacterial small subunit ribosomal RNA", at positions 29 to 519 of the family's 1533-position model. The record is from RNAcentral.